GAUUCUUUAGUAUAAAAUAGUAUAAUUGAUUUCCAAUCAGUUGGUUUUAAGAGUUA
Molecule: transfer RNA, 56 nt
Filed under: Angiostrongylus cantonensis (rat lungworm)
Lineage: Eukaryota; Metazoa; Nematoda; Chromadorea; Rhabditida; Metastrongylidae
Description: tRNA-Gly
Source: RNAcentral